GGGACCAGUAAGAGCAACUGGGACCUUGACACUGGGCCCCAGGUGUGUAGUGGCACAGUCACAGGGCACCAGAGCAUCCUCCAGCCUUUCCUGGGAAUUGUGGGUGAAAAAAAAAGGUGAUACACAAUUCAGAGGAAAUUCUAAAAGCAAUCUGGAAAUAUUAAGAGCAGAAAUACAAACACAAAGAGGUGCAAUUAGGGAGUUGGAUAGCAGAAGUACUGAGUGCCCUAAGUGGGGAAGUGAAGACACCAAUCAAGGUCUCAAAAAGAGCAACAGAGCAGAAGCAUUUGGUUAGAGGGCCCAAAUUUUUCCUGGCUCACACUUUUUUUUUUUUGGCCAGGGUCUGUUAAGAUUAUUCUCUUUGAGGUCAGAGAGAAGCACCAAAGAAGCACUAUAUGGAACACAUAGCAAACCUGUGUAGCUUAGAGGCCAUGUUGAAUCUAGCCCUCCUUGGUGAUACUCAUUUUCCAGGCAGAGUCUUAACCUAACUAGGCAGAUAUAGGGAGAAAAGUCUGAGAAGCCAAACUGUACUGAGUACCCACUUACUGUCAUUUAGUAGAAUACUUAAAGCAUCCUGUUUUGUUCUGCAAUGUGUCAGUGAGAUCAACAACUACCCAAAAGGGUUCAACCUAACAAGCCACAUCAGAAAAACUGAGUGGGUGAGAGAUGCCUCUUAUCAAGACUGAUAUGCAGCUUGAUGAACAGACAAUUUAGUUGGUCCAUCAGCAUGUAUAUCUCGUACAAAUGUUACAUACAGACUGCAAUCUGAAUCCAGAACUGAUUGGGAAGAAAAGAGCUGACUGGGUUUAAUCUGGGAAAUUGUACAGGACUUUCAACAAUCCCAAACUGUUUCCUUAAAACAAAAUAAAAACAACUUUUCCA
Molecule: non-coding RNA, 882 nt
Organism: Phascolarctos cinereus (koala)
Lineage: Eukaryota; Metazoa; Chordata; Mammalia; Diprotodontia; Phascolarctidae
Source: RefSeq, a predicted model, not a curated record